Molecule: long non-coding RNA, 1491 nt
Organism: Cyprinus carpio carpio
Lineage: Eukaryota; Metazoa; Chordata; Actinopteri; Cypriniformes; Cyprinidae
Source: Ensembl
GUCAUGUCUUUCCUUAAGAAAGGAAAAUCGGGGCUCAAAAACGAAAAGAAAAGACGAUUAAAGAGAGAAAGGCAAAUGAGGGCAAGCAGUUGCUCACUCAGAUUUUUGAAAAGAAAGAGUUCUAGCUUUCAUUUGACCACUGGACAAAGAUCAAGUUGGAUCAUUCUGAAAAAUUUUUGGUCUGCCGGAGAAACCCAUCCUCCUUCUCAAUGGAAACGUCAUUCUGUUACCCCAGUUUUCUACCUGACACAGAAAGCAUAAUGUCUGUGAUGCAUGAACUGAAGGAAAAGAACUUAACAGACAACACCCUUCUCUCCAACUUGGAAUUUGCUGAGAGAUUCAUUAGAGACCAUCCUCUAAAACCGUACUCCAAAUUGCUAGUCAAAGGAAAUUACUUUUGUGUACAAAUUGGUCAGAAUCCCUCGCAAGUUUUUACUGUAACAUCAGAAAACAACCAAACCUAUGUCAAUGUCUUUAUAGGCAACCAGUGUGGUGAAAAAAUCAAAACGUCUUUAAUUGAGGCCAGGCACUUUUUCAACCACUCCUGCCAGGAUGAGAUUAAAUCCUGUUUUACACAGGCACAAGAAGCUGUUACUAAAGAGGUUCUGAUAAGAUUGCACAUCAAAUGCAACAGGUUCUCAGUCACAUAUGCCACUCAAUUUAGUGGUCCAUGUGCAACUGUGGAAACGAAAUGUCAGUUAAAGCUAGAGAACCUCACUGCUGAGGGUUUACUGAACAAAAAAGUCUGGCUGCAGAAAGAGAAGCCCACAUGUCAUGGUUUGAUAGCAUGUCUAGACCAUCUCAUAAAGCAAUACCUGACCACAAGCAGUACUAUAUGCCACUCCUAUAGAUUUCUCAUACAUGCAGACAAAGAAAUGAUCAGAAUCACUUCAUGUGUAGAAAAAGAAAGAGAAUGUGUAUUAAUACAUGAUCAUGAAGGGGUCUCAAUGUUUCCUCCAACAUUGCAGUAAAAGUUAUGACCGCACUCCAGAAAACUGCAACAUAGUCUGUUGAAAUAUCUUCAUAUGCAUUUUUAAAGACUAAAGAUUAAAUGAAAUCAUUAUAUUCACGUAUUCACAUAAAUUCAUUACGUAAAAAAUUACUUUACUUUAAAAUAUUACUUGAGAAAUAAAUCAUACAAUGGCAUUACUUGGAGUACAAUACAGUAUAUGUAAUGUUUUUUUGUUGUUAUUGUUGUUUUUGUGGCAAGCAGAUGUUUUUUAUAGAUUUACAUUUGCAUGAUUAACUUCAUCUGUGUUCACUGACAAAAAUGGUAGAUUCUGUGUUGACAUUCUUUAACAUCCUAAAAAUAGACAAUAUGUAAAUAACUUCAUUCUUUGUUAUUUGUAGUUCUUUAUUCUGCAUGUAUUUUGCCUUGGAUUUUAUGAAUUAAAGUGAUAACAGUCAGCUCAUCGGAUACUACUGUAUAUAUCAAUGUACAACAAACAGAGAAUUUCAAGCAUAAUAAAACUGCCUAAAACAUUUAAUGUA